CGUUCGGACUGCUGGUUGAGUGAGAUAAAAACUUAGAGAGCUAAAUGCAAGGUUAGUGACAUGUAUGAAUAGUUUUCUAGGGGCAUGGUCAAAUAGCUUAGUUCAGGAUAAGUCUAGGGACCCCAGAUUGGUUGAAAUUGAAACCAUUUAGGUUGAAUGCCAUAGUACUAAUACCUAAAGCAGUGAACCAGAUCCCUACUACAGGCCAAGCAGCCAAUAAGAAGUGUAAAGAACGAGAAUUGUUGAAACUAGCAUAUUGGAAGAUUAAUCGACCAAAAUAACCGUGAGCAGCCACAAUAUUAUAAGUAUCUUCUUCCUGACCAAAUUUGUAACCCUCAUUAGUAAACUCAUUUUCAGUGGUUUCCCUGAACAAACUAGAGGUUACCAAGGAACCAUGCAUAGCACUGAAUAGGGAACCGCCGAAUACACCAGCUACACCUAACAUGUGAAAUGGAUGCAUAAGGAUGUUGUGUCUACCUAGAAUACAAUCAUAAAGUUGAAAGUACGAGAUAUUCCUAAAGGCAUGCCAUCAGAGAAACUUCCUUGACCAAUAGGGUAAAUCAAGAAAACAACAGUAGCAGCUGCAACAGGAGCUGAAUAUGCAACAGCAAUCCAAGGGCGCAUACCCAGACAGAAACUAAGUUCCCACUCAUGACCCAUAUAACAAGCUACACCAAGUAAGAAGUGUAGAAUAAUUAGCUCAUAAGGACCACCAUUGUAUAACCAUUCAUCAACAGAUGCAGCUUCCCAAAUUGGGUAAAAAUGCAAUCCGAUCGCCGCAAAAGUAGGAAUAAUAGCACCAGAGAUAAUAUUGUUUCCAUGAAGUAAAGAACCAGAAACAGGCUCACGAAUACCAUCAAUAUCUACUGGAGGAGCAGCGAUGAAGGCGAUAAUAAAUACGGAAGUUGCGGUCAAUAAGGUAGGGAUCAUCAAAACACUAAACCAUCCAAUGUAAAGACGGUUUUCGGUGCUAGUUAUCCAGUUGCAGAAGCGAUCCCAUAGGCUUGUACUUUCGCGUCUCUCUAAAAUUGCAGUCAUGGUAAGAUCUUGGUUUAUUCAAAUUGCAAGGACUCCCAAGCACACGUAUUAACUAGAAAGAAAAUAUAUAAU
RNAcentral lists this long non-coding RNA (1110 nucleotides) under Zea mays. RNAcentral describes it as "long non-coding RNA (ZMAY_LNC003170)". Lineage: Eukaryota; Viridiplantae; Streptophyta; Magnoliopsida; Poales; Poaceae. The record is from RNAcentral.